Molecule: transfer RNA, 53 nt
Filed under: Convexana sp. 1 JW-2022a
Lineage: Eukaryota; Metazoa; Arthropoda; Insecta; Hemiptera; Cicadellidae
Description: tRNA-Asp
Source: RNAcentral
AAAAAUUUAGUUUAAAAAAAACAUUAAUUUGUCAAAUUAAAUAUGCUUAAUAG